AAUGAACAGAUUCUCAGCAAAAGGACUCUAAGGAUGCAGAGGAAGGGAAGUCGCCCAAUCUGGGAAGGAGAUUACUCAGUCUCGGGUAUGUGUAUCAGCAAUGUGAAAACGGACUAGUACAUCUCUAGAGGCACAAGCCAUGUGGUCCAGCCAUAAUUAUUUGUUGUCACAACUAAGUUUCCUUUCUAUAUGAAAAGAUUAUAUUGAUCAGAAUUCUAA
Molecule: long non-coding RNA, 219 nt
Filed under: Pan troglodytes (chimpanzee)
Lineage: Eukaryota; Metazoa; Chordata; Mammalia; Primates; Hominidae
Description: lincRNA
Source: RNAcentral